UACGUAGGGUGCGAGCGUUGUCCGGAAUUACUGGGCGUAAAGAGCUCGUAGGUGGUUUGUCGCGUUGUUCGUGAAAUCCCACGGCUUAACUGUGGGCGUGCGGGCGAUACGGGCAGACUGGAGUACUGCAGGGGAGACUGGAAUUCCUGGUGUAGCGGUGAAAUGCGCAGAUAUCAGGAGGAACACCGGUGGCGAAGGCGGUUCUCUGGGCAUGACCUGACGCUGAGGAGCGAAAGUGUGGGGAGCGAACAGG
Molecule: ribosomal RNA, 253 nt
Filed under: uncultured bacterium
Lineage: Bacteria
Description: partial 16S ribosomal RNA
Rfam family: Bacterial small subunit ribosomal RNA
Source: RNAcentral